RNAcentral lists this long non-coding RNA (274 nucleotides) under Bos taurus (domestic cattle). RNAcentral's name for it is "long non-coding RNA NONBTAT016583". Lineage: Eukaryota; Metazoa; Chordata; Mammalia; Artiodactyla; Bovidae. The record is from RNAcentral.
CAGGACUUUUAAAGAUAUAUCAAAUGAACUUUCUCUCCUCCCAAUAAAACCUGUUUUAAGUAAAGUGUGGUUAAUAUGAGCGCUAUAUAGAGUUUUCAAAGAAGGGGGGAAAAGGCAGCCUCAGCUUUAGGUAUGAAAAACAUGGGUGACUCCUAAGGUUUAGGGAGCAAAAAUCACCAACUAGUCCCUUGACCUUUUCUCUGUGGAUAUCAGGAGCUGAUAACAGGAUAUCAGGAUAUCACAGGAUAUCUGUGGAUAUCCUGACAGCUGGGGC